RNAcentral lists this ribosomal RNA (499 nucleotides) under uncultured bacterium. RNAcentral's name for it is "partial 16S ribosomal RNA". It matches the Rfam family "Bacterial small subunit ribosomal RNA", at positions 28 to 507 of the family's 1533-position model. The record is from RNAcentral.
GACGAACGCUGGCGGCGUGCCUAAUACAUGCAAGUCGAGCGAAGUUUUUCUGGUGCUUGCACCGGAAAAACUUAGCGGCGAACGGGUGAGUAACACGUAAAGAACCUGCCUCAUAGACUGGGACAACUAUUGGAAACGAUAGCUAAUACCGGAUAAUAGCAUUAACUGCAUGGUUGAUGUUUAAAAGUUGGUUUUCCUAACACUAUGAGAUGGCUUUGCGGUGCAUUAGCUAGUUGGUGGGGUAAAGGCCUACCAAGGCGACGAUGCAUAGCCGACCUGAGAGGGUGAUAGGCCACACUGGGACUGAGACACGGCCCAGACUCCUACGGGAGGCAGCAGUAGGGAAUCUUCCGCAAUGGGCGAAAGCCUGACGGAGCAACGCCGCGUGAGUGAAGAAGGAUUUCGGUUCGUAAAGCUCUGUUGUUAGGGAAGAAUGAUUGUGUAGUAACUAUACACAGUAGAGACGGUACCUAACCAGAAAGCCACGGCUAACUACGUG